Oryctolagus cuniculus (rabbit) is the source of this 99-nucleotide small nuclear RNA. The record is from Ensembl. NCBI's taxonomy places the organism in Eukaryota, Metazoa, Chordata, Mammalia, Lagomorpha, Leporidae.
AUAUAGUAUAUACAUAGUAUAUAAUACAAUGAGCAGCUCAGAUUAGCAUGGCCACUGCACAAGCAUGACAUGCAAAUUCAAGAAGUGUUCCAUAUUUUU